Molecule: small nuclear RNA, 21 nt
Filed under: Arabidopsis thaliana (thale cress)
Lineage: Eukaryota; Viridiplantae; Streptophyta; Magnoliopsida; Brassicales; Brassicaceae
Description: snRNA_08283
Source: RNAcentral
CACCACUUCUUGUGAUGAAUG